AGCGAACGCUGGCGGCAGGCCUAACACAUGCAAGUCGAACGGACCCUUCGGGGUUAGUGGCGGACGGGUGAGUAACACGUGGGAACGUGCCCUUUGGUUCGGAACAACUCAGGGAAACUUGAGCUAAUACCGGAUGUGCCCUUCGGGGGCAAGAUUUAUCGCCAUUGGAGCGGCCCGCGUCUGAUUAGCUAGUUGGUGAGGUAAAGGCUCACCAAGGCGACGAUCAGUAGCUGGUCUGAGAGGAUGAUCAGCCACAUUGGGACUGAGACACGGCCCAAACUCCUACGGGAGGCAGCAGUGGGGAAUCUUGCGCAAUGGGCGAAAGCCUGACGCAGCCAUGCCGCGUGAAUGAUGAAGGUCUUAGGAUUGUAAAAUUCUUUCACCGGGGACGAUAAUGACGGUACCCGGAGAAGAAGCCCCGGCUAACUUCGUGCCAGCAGCCGCCGUAA
This 449-nucleotide ribosomal RNA is filed under the name uncultured bacterium. Its description in RNAcentral is "partial 16S ribosomal RNA". It matches the Rfam family "Bacterial small subunit ribosomal RNA", at positions 29 to 523 of the family's 1533-position model. The record is from RNAcentral.